Molecule: RNA transcript, 7582 nt
Organism: Cavia porcellus (domestic guinea pig)
Lineage: Eukaryota; Metazoa; Chordata; Mammalia; Rodentia; Caviidae
Exons: 2
Source: RefSeq, a predicted model, not a curated record
GGCUGCUUGUUCCUGCUCGUCACGCCGAUUCCCCUCGGACCUGUCUGCUUUCUGAGGCGCUUCCUCCAUCUUCUGGCUCUUUUUUUUUUUCAAAUUUUUCUGAGACAAGGCCUCCCUGUCCUUCCGGAUAGACAGGAACUGAACUCAAGAUCCUCCAGCCUCAGCCUCCUGAGUGCUGGGAUUACAAGUGUGCGUCGCCAUACCCAGCCACACCCAGCCCGAAAGACUGCUAUUAACAAAAGGAAGGGGCAGUGGUUUCCAGUACCUGACCGGCAAGGCAAUAUGCAGAAACACAAAGAAUUUUCCCCAAUGCAACCAGGGACCAGUGACCCACUUUUUUUUUUUUUUUUUUUUUUUUUUUGGUACCAGGGAUCAAAUUCAUGACUGCGCGCUUGCAAAGCAGGCUCGUAUGCCGCUGAGCUAAAUGCCCCGCUCAAUGACCCACUUUUUAAACGUGGAAAAGAUCUGACCUGAAGCUUCACAAAAAGGGCAGGUGAGUAGUGAAGAGUACAAGCCGAGCUGCUCAGCUGCAUCAUGACCCAGGCCUAGCAAAUCAAAGCCAACGCGAUGCCAGGGUUCAAGGGGAGGCUGCUGCAGAGCAACAUGAGAAAGUACACUGGGGCGGGAACCGCAGACCCAGCCAGAAAGGAAAUCAGAGCCACUGCUGCAGCAGGCAUUGCUGUCCACUGCCAGGCCACCCAGGGAAGCCUCAGGGCUGCUGGUCCUCACUGUGACUCCCACGCCCUGUUCAUAGCAGCUUGGCUCCUGAUAACCAGCACCUGGGAAUCACCAAAUUACCCUUGGAAAAAUCGAUGUGGUGGUACAUGCCUGUAGUCCCAGCACUUGAGAGGCUGAGGCAGGAGGAUCCUGCAAAUUCAAGACCAGCGUGGGCUCCACAGUGCUUUGCAGACCAGCCUGAACUAUACAGAUAAACACCUUGUGGCUCAACAGUAGGGGGACACUGAGGUACAGGAGCAGGGCCAGCUUGGCUGCGGAUAGCUGCCUGAAGCAGACAAUGAAGUGUCCUGAGGGGCCUAAGAGCCACAGAAGAGGUCGGGUAUAGCCCAGCCAGAGAGCUUUGCCUAGCGUGUAUUGGACCUUGUGCCGUUAAAGCUUUUUUUAAAAAAAUUUUUAUAAAAUGCAUUUAAAAAAUAAGAUGGAUACUGUACUCACAGGUUGUUAGGGCCGAGCCACAAGGACCACAAACUGGAGGCCAGGCCGAGACAAUUUAACAAGACCCCAUGUCAAAGUGAAAAGGGUUGGUGAAGCCGUGAGGGUACACACCUGUAAUCCUAGGAGGCCGAGACAGGGAGGUUGCCAUGAUUUUGAGGCCCGUUGGGUUCCAUAGUGAUUUCAAGGCCAAUCUGGACUACCAAUGCAGUGCUGUCUCAACAAAGCAAAAAGGCAAGCAGUGCGGGUUCCAGGAAGAGAAAAAUCAGCACUAUAGGAGAAUUGGCCAUGCUGGGACUGGGAGGAUCCAACAAGAAGCCAACCAGCCAGCCUUUCUGGUAAGCUGUGCAAGCCACACAGGCUCUAGGAAGAGAAAAGUUGGUGCCUCCUGUGAACCUACCUGCACAGACUAAGAAUCCAAUCACCCCAUCCUCCCACCACAGUAUGCAGGUGACUGAAGGCUAACCAUGGAGGUCCAUCAGCGUGUGAUCUGAGGAGAAGACCAGGGCAGGUAGGAAAAGAUCUGCGCUACAGACACACGUGUGUGUCCUCUCAGGUGGGACAAGCAAGCGCCGUUCAGCUUGCAGCAGUGAGAGCCUGGCAGGACUGGGGCCGAUGGCCUGAUUCAGACCAGCUCUGACCACGUGCCCCGAGAUACACUGGCUGGUGAACACACUACAUGUGGAUGGCCUGGCCUGCAAUCCCCAUGGGGAAGCCAUAAGAACCUUGCAUUGCAGUGGGAUUAUGGAGAAAGCUGCUCACUGAUGUGCUCUGGGGCUGUGAUACCCACUACAUCCAGGCAUUCCAGAAGUGCUUGUUAAAUGAGUGAUGGAACCGGAGAGAGGUGCUGAGGGCCCGCCCCCGGGAGCUGCAGUUCAUGGCUUGGCCCGACUGGAGAGGAGGAAGGCUGAGCUGCCUCAGGAUUUGCAAGCUGGGAUUCUGUCUCUGAACAAAACAAAACAAAACUAGUGCUGAUAAGAGACAGGGAAACUGCGGUGCAAGGGCCAGAGCAGGUGGCGCAGGCUGAGAAUCAAACAUCCCCUACCCACCCCCACCCUACUGUUAGCAACUGGGGGCAGAGGUCUGAGCAUCUCUUGGGAGGAUGACCAUAUAUAAUAUAGCAAAUAUGGGGGAUUUCCUACUACUUUGUUUUUUGGGUAUUUUUAGUCUUUUUCAUUUUUAUCAGUACCAGGGAUCGAACUCAUGACUGCCUGCUUCCAAGGCAGGCGCUUAUGCCGCUGAGCUAAAUCCCCAGCCCCCUAUUUUCUGUUUAAAGGCAAAUGUGAUUUUCACUGUUUUGCUUUGUUCUGAUUGUUUUGCUCUAUUCAAUAUUCUCUUUUGAUUGGUUUUAUAAUGUUGUUUUUAGUUUGAUUUUGCUAUACCUGAUGGAAUGGGCAACUAUUGUGAAAACAAGAUAUAUUAUAGUACCUAUUAUUGUUAUCCCGGUGUGAAGCUCUUUACCAAUUUCACUGCAUUGUCUCGAUUGUCUUUGUUCUGUUGUAUUUUACUACCUUCAAAAUAAAGUUUAGGGGCUGGGGGUUUAGUUCAGUGGCGUAAGCGCCUGCCUUGCAAGCAGGCAGUCGUGAGUUCGAUCCCCGGUACCGAUAAAAACAAAAAAGACCAAAAUAAUAAUAAUAAUAAUGUUUUUAAAAAAUUGAAAUAGAAAUAAAUUUAGAACCAAGGAUGUAGCUGCAUCCGCGCCCGCGCCUUGCUCAGUCCUCUCGCGCCAUUGCGCUGCCCCAGAGCCGCCGCCGUCCAAAAGAGUGCGUCCGCAGGUGCUCGAGGCCCCUGGGAUUUCAGCUGAACCAUCUGUUUCAUCGUCAAGCCGUCAUGAGCUGUCAGAAGCCCAGGUCCGGGAAAGCAGACACAGAGAACAAUAUGAAAAUUGUGGAUUUCUUUCCUCAGGUACACCCCAUGGAUUGAUCCGCGGUCUGGAUCAGAGGGCCAGUUUACACGAGGCACUCAAUAGUCUUGAGGCUAUCAUAGAACAGGUAAAGUCUCACCAAGGCAAAACAAUGCUGGCAUGUGGCACAGAAAGGAUUACAGGGUUCCUGAACCUAGGGAUGCCCUUCAGUUGUAUUCCUAAUGAGGCCACUGUGAACAUUACCUUUUCCAAACAUGUAAGUGAGCAGAAGGAAGAUAAUCCAAUACGUGGCCGAAAGGCAGACCAAACACUGACUGUGUCAAAUUUUAUGUUCAUGCAAUUGGGUAGACAAUAAAAAGGACUGUUAAAUGUAAGGAGCUUCACAAAGAAGGAAACAAACUCUGUGUCUUUAGUUUCAAAGGAGAAACCAUCAAGGAGGCUUUGUGCAAGGACCACAGAUUUCUUCCUUUUCUGGAGAAUGGCCAUUGGAAACUCAUCAGCAACAAGAACUCCACUAUAGAAAACACUCAAGUAGUCAAUCAGGUGGAGGGAAAGGUCUUCAAGAUGGAAGCUGAAACUAGAAAUAGCCCUAGGGUGCCGGCACAGAAUUCUGAGUUAGUGAAAAGCAGACCCAUGUAUUGAAAGAAUACGUUGUGGAAGAGUAUUCCUGCUUGAAAAGAAAAAGAGAAAAUAUCAGAAAAACACAUCAAGAAAGAAGUGAAAACAAGUGGAAAAAAACAAACAACAUUACUUAGGUUUCAUAGAACAAACUUUGGGAAACAGACCAAAAAUUCUACUCCUGUUAAAACAAUCAAGCUCCUUUCACAUUUCAAUGACUCAGUUGGAUUCUUACACUGGGACAAUAAUGGCAACAUGGGUACUGCCACCUGCUUCAUGUUCACAGGGCCUACAUUCUCACUUGUCACCACGUGGUAGAUCAGAUUGUGGGAAAAGGAGUAGAGCCCAGCAAGUGGGCAGACAUAAUCGGCCACUGUGCUCGAGUGACAUUCAGUUAGGAAGAGUUUGAAUCAAAAGACCACAACUCCUUUUCCAUCGAAUCUUGGUUUGAGAUAUCUGAUGUAGAUCUCGACUACGCAGUCCUGAAACUCAAGGAAAAUGGACAGCAAGUUCCUGCAGGACUCUACAAUGGGAUCGCCCCUGCACCAGCUAAUGGGUUGGUAUAUAUUAUUGGGCAUCCUGCAGGAGAAACGAAGUCCACUGAUGCAUGUGUCAUGAUUCCUCAGAGAGAGCGAAAAGAGACGUGUGACAGAAGUAUGAGAGAAUUAGUGCCUGAGCCUCAGUUUGCCCACAUGUACACUCAAAACAGUUUCAGGGAAAUUCUUCACAACCCUAAUGUUGUUACCUAUGACACCACUUUUUAUUGGGGUUCUUCUGGCUCACCAGUGUUUGACCCCCAUGGCUCCUUGGUGGCCAUGCAUAAUGCUGGUUUCACUAAGAAGCAUGGUGAAGGCACUUUGCAUAUCAUUGUUUGGCUUUGUUAUGCAAGCCAUCCUCUCUGAUAUUAAGCAGAAGCACCUGGUGUGGUAUGCACAGGAGUGUGUAAAUCAGCAGGAUGUAGAAAUGCUGAGUCAGGAGUACUGAGGUUUGGUGUGCACUUGCCUGUGCAGUUGCCUUCCACAGCAAUGAUGCUGCUUUUCUAACUUCCAUAGUGGUCAGUUGUAGAAACAUUAAAACAGUGGAUAUUGGAGACCAGCAAUUUUUAUAAAGCCAUAAAGAAAUGAGUCCCAUUGUAAAAUGAAGCUUAAGUAUCAAUUGCUUUCUAAGGCCUGGUCCCCUUUUCUGGACCUUCAAAGGACAAACAAAAAUCAUGUAUUUUUCUCAUUAGACAGUCAGAGUGAAGUGUUUGACCCUGCAAGGCAGCGUCUGUGCCUCCUGUCAGCCUGAAGCAGAAGAUAGCCCCAAAUUGCUUCUGCAUCCCUCAGGAGUAAGGGAUCAGAGCCCUGGAAUUGAAAUUCAGGUAGAAGAGAAGCAAAACAGAAGAUAGGAAGGAGACAGGGAGGUUAUAAUUUAUAGAUGGUACUUUUAAGAAGAAUGUGACUAAGAUACAGUUAUCUCAGGUUAUCCACAUCUCCACAUCCUGGCAGGUUGUCAAAAGUAUCACAGAAUAUUUUUAGAUAAUGUUUAAUCUUUAAAAAUACAAAAUAGUUUACUGGACUCUGUAUCCUUCUGUAAAAUAAGCUACUGUCUUCCCUGUUGGGGAGUCAUCACUUUUUUCCUGCAAACAAGGUCUGGUAGAUUCACAAAUUCCACUGCAAAAACAUAAAUAUUAGCUGUUCUGUGCACCUUUUUCUGGCCUCACACUAUUUCUUUGAGUGUGUGCUUUAAAAUUCUCCCUCAUAAUCCCUUUACUUCUUUAAAAAAACAUUAAAGCAAGUCAGCAGGAAGCAAGUCCUCCUUGUGAGUCCGUACCAUGUGCAGGCAGCUGGGGGAGAGAACUAAAUGGCAGUGUUUUCCCAUGAGUCAGUGCUGCUCAUGGACUGCAGAGGAGGAGGAGAAUAAGAAGAAGCCAAAUAAGUAAACCAUCCCUAUGAGUUGGCUCCAUGUCUGAGGUGCUGUGGGAGAACCAGAUGCCAACCCCUUCUGGUGUAGAGGCUGAGAGACAGGAAGAAACAAGGUCUCCUCACCCCCAAAAGUGGCUGAUGUGGAGAAACACAAGCUGUGAUGAUAACUAUUGAGGUAAAUACAGCUUAAUGCUUGUAGUGUUCAGUGUUUCACUGACUUUGUAGUCUGGUGGUCUCACCAUCUAUUCUGAAGAUAACAAUAUGUAAUGUAGUAUCUAUGGGGGAUCUCCCUCUAAGGGUGCUGGCCAUUGUUAAUUCCUUAUUGUCUUGUUUUUAAGUCCUGUAUCAUAUUCGUUAUUUUGUUGGGUUGGGCUUUAUUUCAUUUUUGUUUGUUUGUUUAUUAUAUCCAAUGUUGUGGGAACCUACUUGAAAAAGAUACACUAUGGUAGCCAUAUUGGACUUACUCUUAACUUGUUUUGAAGUUUCUUUAUUGUGUUCAUUGUUUUGUUUUCAUUGGUUCUGUUAUGUUCUGUUUUGUUUGAUUUUUACUAUGUCUGAAGGUAUGGACAGCUAUUUUGAAGACAGCAAAAAACAUUAUGAUUAACAUUGCUGAUUUUUAUUUUCUUGUUUUGAAGUCCUGUGUCACUUAUACUGUUUUCUUUUCUUUUCUUUUCUUUUUUUUUUAUUUAAAGAAAAGGAAACAAAAGAAUACAUGGAGAUAAAAAAAAAAAGGGUAGAAAUAAUACAAACUUACAGAAAAACAAACAGUAAGAAAUUGCUGGUUGAUAAGUUACACAUUGUCAUCUUAGAAAUAGCUGUUCAUGUUAUAGAAUUAAAGUAUUUAGAAUGACAUUCAUAAAGUGACACUACAAACCGUCCUGCUCUAUGAUCAAACAAGAGCUCAGUAAUAUGGUUAUCAGUCCUACACAUUUGUUUUACAUCUCAAAGAGGGUAAGAUUAAACAUAUCAAAACAGAACAAAGCAGUUAAAAAAACAAUUACUGCUUUUUUUUUUCACUGGCAAAAAAUAAAUAAAAAAAUUAAUUCUAACAACAAAAAAAAGAACCAAGGAUGUAGCUCAGUGGUAGAGAUUUUGCUAAGCAUAAACUUGACGCUGGGUUUUAUCCUCACUAUGAGCAAUGACAAUAAUGAUAAUGAUUCUUUUAGUUUUAUUUAUUUUGAGACAGGGUCUUGCUUUGCUAUUUCAGCUGGCCUUGAACUUACUUCAUAGCACAGGCUGGUCUUGAAUUCACAAGGAUCCUCCUGCCUCAGCCUCCCGAGUUAUUCUUUUAGUUUUAAAAGACAAAAUGAAAAUAUUAUUUUUCAAAUGGCAUCUUUGAUGUAUAACUUUUUUUUUAAGAUAGGAUGUCACUAGCCCAGGGUGGCUCAAAUUCUUGAAUUUGUCAUGAUUCUCCUUCCUCAGCCUCCUGAGUGCUGGGGUUACCGGGUUUACAUCUUAAAUGUUCAUGUUAUUCUUGUAAUGUACAGUCCCAAAAACGUAAGUCUUUAGCAAUAACCUACAUUCUGUCCAGUUAUCUUUGUAAUUUGUGGGAUUUUUUUUGGUCUCUUUUUUUAUCGGUACCAGUGAUCAAACUCACAACCACACACUUGCAAGGCAGGCGCUUAUGUUGCUGAGCCAAUUCCCCAGCCCCAUUUGUAGGAUAUUUCAAGGAGUUGCUUCACUUUGUUGUAUGUGAGAUUAACCAGAAAAAUAUUAAGAUCUGAGACAUGGAGAUUUUACCUUUAGUUUUUUAAGUGCUAAAGCCACCUUUUACAUUGGUUAAUAUAGCAAAAGUAAUUUGGUCUAGGGACUGGGGAUUUAGCUCAGUGGCACAGUGCCUGCCUAGCAAGUGUGAGAUCUGAUUUUGAUUCCCAGUACCCCCCCAAAGGAAAUUCAUUAACAUUAAACAGCAUUUUGGAUAUUAUGUAUAUUCAUAAUACUAGUAUGUGUAAAUAAACCAUGUAAUAAAUUUUAUAUAUGACAUAUAAAUUGAAAUAAAAUCCUCUUGCAGUAGAUCCUUCUUACA